CUUCCGGCGUCCACUUUGAAUUGCCAUAUUGUUUGUUUAUUCGCCAUUACCUUCGGGAGAGACAGUGUCACUAAAAGGCGAGACAGUGGGAAAAUCUGUGGUGUGCAGAAACCUCCUGCUUCCUACCGCAGACUGGCCGGCUUGCGCUCCGAGGGCCAUGCCCUCACAUAUCUCCCCAGGGUUCCAGGAGUCUGAAUCAGUGUGACAGUGCCUAAACUCAUCAAAGGACAGAAGCACAGUUACUGUUAUAGAACAGGAUGACAGAAAAGAACAACUCGGGAGUGUACGCAGGAAAAGGAGAAAUGGAUGAGUCGGCAUCCCCAAAAGAAAGGCCAUGAAAGAAGGUGGCAUCUACAAAUCAGGAAGAGAGCCCUCACCAAGGAAUGGGCCAGCACCUUGAUCUUAGACUUCUCAGCCUUCAGAACUGUGAGAAAUAAAUUCUCUGUUGUUUAAG
Leopardus geoffroyi (Geoffroy's cat) is the source of this 454-nucleotide long non-coding RNA. RefSeq lists it as uncharacterized. The record is from RefSeq and is a predicted model, not a curated record. The transcript has 3 exons. NCBI's taxonomy places the organism in Eukaryota, Metazoa, Chordata, Mammalia, Carnivora, Felidae.